CCCAGACUCCUACGGGAGGCAGCAGUGGGGGAUAUUGCACAAUGGGGGGAACCCUGAUGCAGCGACGCCGCGUGGGUGAAGGAGCGUUUCGGCGCGUAAAGCCCUAUCGGCAGGGAAGAAGGAGGACGGUACCUGACUAAGAAGCCCCGGCUAACUACGUGCCAGCAGCCGCGGUCAUACGUAGGGGGCCAGCGUUAUCCGGAUUUACUGGGUGGAACGGGGGCGCAGACGGCAGCGCAGGCCAGGAGUGGAAGCCCGGGGCCCAACCCCGGGACUGCUCUUGGAACUGCGCGGCUGGAGUGCAGGAGGGGCAGGCGGAAUUCCUGGUGUAGCGGUGAAAUGCGUAGAUAUCAGGAGGAACACCGGUGGCGAAGGCGGCCUGCUGGACUGCGACUGACGUUGAGGCCCGAAAGCGUGGGGAGCAAACAGGAUUAGAUACCCGAGUACUC
RNAcentral lists this ribosomal RNA (449 nucleotides) under uncultured bacterium. Its description in RNAcentral is "partial 16S ribosomal RNA". It matches the Rfam family "Bacterial small subunit ribosomal RNA", at positions 330 to 795 of the family's 1533-position model. The record is from RNAcentral.